Molecule: ribosomal RNA, 465 nt
Filed under: uncultured bacterium
Lineage: Bacteria
Description: partial 16S ribosomal RNA
Rfam family: Bacterial small subunit ribosomal RNA
Source: RNAcentral
GACGAACGCUGGCGGCGUGCUUAACACAUGCAAGUCGUACGGUAAGGCCCUUUCGGGGGUACCCGAGUGGCGCACGGGUGAGUAACACGUGAGUAACCUGCCCACAACUUUGGGAUAACGCUAGGAAACUGGUGCUAAUACUGGCUAUGUGCUCCUGCUGCAUGGUGGGGGUUGGAAAGCUCCGGCGGUUGUGGAUGGACUCGCGGCCUAUCAGCUUGUUGGUGGGGUAGUGGCCUACCAAGGCGGCGACGUGUAGCCGGCCUGAGAGGGUGACCGGCCACAUUGGGACUGAGAGACGGCCCAGACGCCUACGGGAGGAAGCAGGGGGGAAUAUUGAACAAUGGGCGCAAGCCGGAUGCAGCAACGCCGCGUGCGGGAUGACGGCCUUCGGGUUGUAAACCGCUUGCAGCAGAGACGAAGCUUUUUGUGACGGUACCUGCAGAAGAAGCACCGGCUAACUACGUG